CCAGCACCCCGAGUGGUCGGGACGAUUAUUGGGCCUAAAGCAUCCGUAGCCGGUUUUACAAGUCCUCCGUUAAAUCCAGCUGCUUAACAGAUGGGCUGCGGAGGAUACUAUAAGACUAGGGGGCAGGAGAGGCAAGCGGUACUCAGUGGGUAGGGGUAAAAUCCGUUGAUCCAUUGAAGACCACCAGUGGCGAAGGCGGCUUGCCAGAAUGCGCUCGACGGUGAGGGAUGAAAGCUGGGGGAGCAAACCGGAUUAGAUACCCGGGUAGUCCCAGCUGUAAACGAUGCAGACUCGGUGAUGGACUAGCUUUAUGCUAGUCCAGUGCCGCAGGGAAGCCGUUAAGUCUGCCGCCUGGGUAGUACGGUCGCAAGACUG
RNAcentral lists this ribosomal RNA (375 nucleotides) under uncultured organism. RNAcentral's name for it is "bacterial SSU rRNA". It matches the Rfam family "Archaeal small subunit ribosomal RNA", at positions 476 to 851 of the family's 1478-position model. The record is from RNAcentral.